AUGAAAUUUUUCAAAUUUUGAAUCUGAACACCACCAAACUAAUCUUUAUGUAUGCAUCUUUAUAAAUGACAAAUUCCAUAAAUGAGACUCUUACAUAUUUUGGGUGGGAGGCCACUGGCAUGUAUUUUUAAAUGUUCAUAUUACUUAGAAUCUCUAAUAGGAAGUUUUUAUUUGACAUAGCUGAAUCAGAUAUCUAGUAUUUUCCUUUCAGCAAGACCUUUUAGGUUUUUACUCCUAAAAUAAGUUCCAUUCCAUCUGCAAAUUGCUGCAGUAUUAUAGCAAUCAGAAGCUAUACAAGGAAGUUAAAUAGGCUUGUUGAUUCCCACUUAUCUUGAGAACAGUGAAUACCACCUUUCUCCCUUUUAAAAAAUGACACAUGUUUAAAUACUUAGAAAAUAAAGUCAAAACUUAUUGAAGUGCCAGUACUAAAAGGGAAGCAGNNNNNNNNNNNNNNNNNNNNGAACUGUAAGACAGUAAUAAAUGUGUGCCAUUUCAAGUGACUAUGGUUGUGGCAAUCUGUUACAAUAGCUACCAGAAACAAAUAUAGGUUUGUAUAAAAACUUUUAUUAGUAAGUUAACUGAAUAUUGGAAUUUUAAAAUGUAUCAUCUUUGAAUUUUUAAUACCAAAUGUGCUUUGGAUUAAUUUUGUAGUUUGAAGAUAAGCUCUCUUUGAUGACUUAAAGUCUCAGAUUCUUUUAUCCUAAAUAAUUUUUAAACCUAAAAACUCAAUAAAUAUUGGAAGGUAGCAUUAUAACUAAGUUCUGAUACUGGUUUUAAGUAGAUUCCAUGUGAAAUUUAAUGUAGGAGACUAAAUCUAACAUCAUUUUCCUUAGUCACACAAAUUCCUACAUCUCCAAGAUAGUUAGGUAAAAUUGGUGUAAUAAAAGAAUUGGGUGGGACUGCUGGUAAAUUUUAAACUACCAUACAGCUUAAGAGUCUGAUCUCUGGAAUGCAAUAUCUGUUUCCUUUCUGUGUAAGUAUUGAUAACAUUACUCAUUGACCAUAGGGUACACUCUGAAAUGUUUUCAGUGGAAAUUUGUUUGUUUCAUUAAUGCUGUUUCACCAGUUAG
RNAcentral lists this long non-coding RNA (1070 nucleotides) under Capra hircus (goat). RNAcentral's name for it is "lncRNA (ENSCHIG00010028755.1)". Lineage: Eukaryota; Metazoa; Chordata; Mammalia; Artiodactyla; Bovidae. The record is from RNAcentral.